UACGAAGGGGGCUAGCGUUGCUCGGAAUCACUGGGCGUAAAGGGCUCGUAGGCGGCCAACUAAGUCAGACGUGAAAUCCCUCGGCUUAACCGGGGAACUGCGUCUGAUACUGGAUGGCUCGAGUUUGGGAGAGGGAUGCGGAAUUCCAGGUGUAGCGGUGAAAUGCGCAGAUAUCAGGAAGAACACCCGUGGCUAAGGCGGCUCUCUAGUACGGUACUGACGCUGAGACGCGAAAGCGUGGGGAGCGAACAGG
Molecule: ribosomal RNA, 253 nt
Filed under: uncultured bacterium
Lineage: Bacteria
Description: partial 16S ribosomal RNA
Rfam family: Bacterial small subunit ribosomal RNA
Source: RNAcentral